AAAUAAAAGCGAUGUUGGUGCGGUUCAAUCCGAAAACGAAUUUACAAUCGUAAAAUACGAUAUCAGAUUGAGCCGCGCCAAUAUCACUUUCCGCAAG
Molecule: microRNA precursor, 97 nt
Organism: Gossypium arboreum
Lineage: Eukaryota; Viridiplantae; Streptophyta; Magnoliopsida; Malvales; Malvaceae
Source: Rfam